This 424-nucleotide ribosomal RNA is filed under the name uncultured bacterium. RNAcentral's name for it is "partial 16S ribosomal RNA". It matches the Rfam family "Bacterial small subunit ribosomal RNA", at positions 360 to 776 of the family's 1533-position model. The record is from RNAcentral.
AAUUUUGUACAAUGGGGGAAACCCUGAUCCAGCCAUCCCGCGUGUAUGAUGAAGGCCUUCGGGUGGUAACGUACUUUUGGCAGAGAAGAAAAGGUAUCUCCUAAUACGACAUACUGCUGACGGUAUCUGCACACUAAGCACCGGCUAACUACGUGCCACAAGCCGCGUGAAUACGUAGUGUGCAAGCGGUAAUCGGAAUUACUGGGCGUAAAGCGUUUGUAGGCGGUUCGGAACGAAAGAUGUAAAACCCCAGGGCUCAACCUUGGAACUGCAUUUUUAACUGCAGAGCUAGAGUAUGUCAGAGGGGAGUAGAAUUCCACGUGUAGCAGUGAAAUGCGUAGAUAUGUGGAGGAAUACCGAUGGCGAAGGCAGCCCCCUGGGAUAAUACUGACGCUCAGACACGAAAGCGUGGGGAGCAAACAGG